UACGUAGGGUGCGAGCGUUAAUCGGAAUUACUGGGCGUAAAGCGUGCGCAGGCGGCGCGUUAAGACAGGUGUGAAAGCCCCGAGCUUAACUUGGGAAUUGCGCUUGUGACUGGCGAGCUGGAGUGUGGCAGAGGGAGGUGGAAUUCCACGUGUAGCAGUGAAAUGCGUAGAGAUGUGGAGGAACACCGAUGGCGAAGGCAGCCUCCUGGGCCAGCACUGACGCUCAUGCACGAAGGCGUGGGGAGCAAACAGG
RNAcentral lists this ribosomal RNA (253 nucleotides) under uncultured bacterium. RNAcentral's name for it is "partial 16S ribosomal RNA". It matches the Rfam family "Bacterial small subunit ribosomal RNA", at positions 524 to 776 of the family's 1533-position model. The record is from RNAcentral.